Felis catus (domestic cat) is the source of this 2427-nucleotide long non-coding RNA. RefSeq lists it as uncharacterized. Lineage: Eukaryota; Metazoa; Chordata; Mammalia; Carnivora; Felidae. The transcript is spliced from 4 exons. The record is from RefSeq and is a predicted model, not a curated record.
UAACAACCUAUGAGGGGCUUUGUGAAAUUAUCCACGCUCGGGACUCCACCCUGGCCCGAUGAGGUCAGAAGCGCGGGGAGUGCGGCCCAGGUGUGGGUACUUUUUGCCGCUCCCUUGAUGAUUCUAGAAGGCCGCCAGGGUGGUGAACCACUUCCUUUAGUGAGAUGGCCCUUAGGUCCGAGAACCUGGAACCUCCAGCUGGUGUGUGUGAGGUUUGCUUUGCGGUAGAGACAGCGAAAAGAGGUGGUUGGCCGUAGUGGUGGUGGCGGGAGGGAAAUAGAAGCCCAGGAUGGAAUUCUUCAGCUGGGAGAUACGGGGCAAAAUAAUAUCAAGCAGGCAUAGGACUUAAUUCCUCUGGCACUUCCCCUUUUCUCCAACCCCAGGGAGAUAGAAACAGUUAAAAAAAAAUUAAUUUAUAAAAGGCAUCAGAGUCAUCCUGAAACUUCUCAGCAGAAAAAAAAAAACAAAAAACAAAAAAAAAACCAAGCGUCUCUAUUCAGAGGCACACUGCCCUUCUUCUUUUGUCUUCUAGCCUGGUGAGAACACACAUCAUAUACAGCCUGUCUUUACAAACUGCUGGCUCUUUUCAUGAAUAUUCAAUGGUUUUGCCCACACUUUGUCUCAGUCUCUCUCCCCCCCCCCCCCCCAACUACCAUCUUAGAUGCAGUGACUUUGAGCUACCACUUAAAAAAAAAAAAAAAGUAAAGUCCAUCAAGGCGCCUUCCAGUGAAGCCGGAUGUCGUAGGGGGGUGGUGGUGGAAACUAGGAGUCCUACUGUGUACCAGACUCAAACUAAAAGGUUGUAAUGACCUUAUCUCGGCAAAAGAUUUUUAUCUUCACGGUUUAUUUAAUCACUGGUCCCCUCGAAUUAGGAGCUAAGCCUCUGAUGGGCGACUGUCGAUCCUUAUCAAAACUACUAAGACAUAUUUCAACCGUGGAGGAAAAUGGUGUGGCAUCUGGAGAUGGGGGGCCCUCAGGGUCUUGCAUGGCAAGAAACUGCAGACUGGAAACACUGCUCCUCAUAUCUUAAGUAAAGGCUUUGCGAUGAUUGAUUAUUUUUCCUCUGAUAAAUACCUGGUUUUCAAAAGCAGUCUAAAUAGUAGGGAUCUCCAUUUUCCAAGUAUUCGAAAUGCAUUUGGCUGUCCUAUCAUUAAACCCAGACCCAGGAGACCAGCCGAGACGUCUGAGCCCUUCCCACGUUCGCGGCAGAGACACUCCUGCUCACUGAAUAUCCUCGAGUAACCCUGUAUUUCCCGCCCCGCUGCCAUUUGCCAGGGCCAGCCGACUGGUUCUGAGCAAUGGGCAGGGAGCACAAGGGACUUGUACAUGAUCCUGCAGAAGCCCUAAAGGUCACGCGUGAAAGCCAUCACAAGCUGGAACUGAGUCACCACAAAGAGCACAGCUGCCCUUGACGGUCACCUGAUUCAUCGUGGCCUUUGUAUGAGCGAAAAACAAACCUCUGUGGUGUUAGCCUUGUGAAAUGAAACACUGGGAUUUUUUGUGACUGCAGAAAAGCCCAGCUCAACCUAUCGAUACAACAGGACGCUGAAGAGGGCUCCUAUCAUCACCCCAUUUUGGAAGACCCCACUGCAAGCCUCUUAUCUUGAUGUGUUUGUAGUAGAUGGAGAGAAGAUGCUCUCUCCUCGGACCCCAAGGACUCCCCAGUUACGAAAUGCUCCAUCGGCAUUCACACGUGCAGUAAAUAAUCAUUGAGUGCCAACCAUGUGCCAGGGCCCUUAUUGGCACUGGGGAUUGCGUGGUUAGCAAAACGGACUCCAUCUCGUCUUUGCCUACAGCUUUCAGUCCGUCGGAAGAGACUGCUGCUCGACAAAUAAGCAUGCCGAUGAGCGCAGAAUAACUAGCAGAGCAUCUCACAGCUCAGCCACUGGGUUCCAAGAGGCAGUGUCAUGUUUGCAAAUGCAGAAGAACGGCAGAUCUCCUAAGGUCCGGAUUCCAUUGGUCAGAACAGAUCACAAGUCCAGCCCAGGUUCAAGAGGAAGUGACUCCACCUCCUGGUGGCAGGACUAGCAAAGGAUUUGCAGCCACCUUCAAUCCACCAGAAGGGAAAAAACAAAAGGAACCGGAGGAAGCUUUUGGAGGCAAUGGGAGGAAGAGAAAUGAGAUCUGCAACUUUGUUUGAAAUGCGUCAGACUUCAAGGUAGAUCAACAGAUGGAAAUGGGAUGGAUAGACUAAUGAUAAAGCAGGUACAGUAGAAUAUUAACCGUAGAGCCUGUGUGAUCACUGCAACAUUCUUUAGACUUCUUGGUAUGUUUGGAAAUUUUUAUAUUAAAUUUUGGAGGUAAAAACUUGAGCAGUUUCCAUAGUGCUCCUGGGUUUCUUUACCCCCUCCUGCCUCCCUUCUCCCCUCCCUGAUCCCUUCUCCUCUCCUCUCCUCCUCUCCCACCUCCUAUCCUCUGCCUUCUUGC